GUCUGGGGUUAGGGCUUGCCCGUUCAAAUUGCACAAAGAUUUUUGUGCUCAACUUCCUUUUGUUAAGCCUCUAUUAAAUAUUUAAGGAGCUGGCGCCUAGAGCAUUUAAAUUAGGAUUUGAUUUACGUCAAAUUGAUUUGUACAUCACCUUUGCCAAUCAGGUCCUCUCUUCGGGGAAUGUGGAGCUGGGGACAAGGAGAUUGAGUCUGCCAGUUGUGGGGAGCAGACCUGGAAGGUUAGAGAGAUCCAAGGGCCGAAUUUGGCAAUCUGGAGCAGUUGCGUGCUGGGGGACUCUCUCUGUGAUAAACCCCCUUCUACCUGAGUGUCACUGAAUGAGAAAACUGAGCUACAGAGAUGAAGGCCACCUAGCCAUUAAGGAAUGGAGCUGGGAUUCAGGCCCGGGCUGCCUGGCUGCAUUAUGCCUCCUUGCCUUUCUCAAGCACUAUCAACAUGCUCAUAGUAAAAUAGAAAUGCCUCUUACACCUAGAAACAGCUUAACCCAAUGCUGGCUAAAGCUCUGGUCUGUCUUUGCUCCAGUGGAAACCAACACCACCAUGGUCUUGAGGACAGGACCCAUCACUGGAAAUGCAGGGUCGACCAGGAUUAUAUAGAGUGGAGAUUUCAUGGCUCCUGGGUCUGGGUCCCUUUCUUUCCGGUGACCAGUUAUACAGGGGGAGAGAAGAGGAUGCUAAGAAUAAACUUGGCGUGACUUCUCAGUUACAGAUGACCAGGCUAACUCUAGCCAGUGAGCUGGCAACUGUUCAUCCCCAUCCUUAAAGAGAACCAGUAUCUGCUCACUUCUAUAAAAUGGUAGACUCCAUGGACGAACUGGGUUAACUGGGUUCUUCUUGGAUGUGCCAGGUAUGUCAGCUCUUCCAGUGGAUCACACCAAUUCUCAUGGUAACUUUGGAAGAAAGUCUCUUCCCCCAUUUUAGAGAUGGUAAAAUUGAGGCUUGGGGGAGAGAAAUACAGUAUGGUGAGGGCUUACUUUUCUGUCCUAUUCCAGUUAUCAUAUACACCAUUCGUCCUGUAUGAAGCACAGUACAGAGCAGAGCAGAAGCACCUUCUCAACCCCAGGCACCAUUUCUGAUGUGUCAAAGGAUGGGAAGCAAAAAGAAUACCUCUUCCACCUGCGUUACAGUGUGAGAGCACAGCUCAAAAGCACAUGUAUCUAUAAAGUGUUUGGAAAAUACUAUAUGAAUACAAACUACUAAUUAAUAAGUGAGUGAGUUGGUCCAGAGGUGGGCAGUCUAGCGUGGAGACUGAGAGCACAGGCUCUGGAAUCAGAUGGCACUGGGUCUGAUGAACUUGUGACCCCUCUGAACCUCAAGUUUCCUCAUCUGCAAAAUAGAGACGUGAAUAUUCCCUGUCUCGGAGGGCCUCAUGAAGCUCCAGGGAGUUAGCGCAUAUGGAAGGCUUAGCAGAACGCCUGACUUACACUGUUGUGGUUGUGACUGCUAGUAUUAUAAAUAACUCAACUAGUCUUAGUUUUCUCAUCUGUGAAACAGAAAAAAAAAUCAUUUUACCCAUCUCACAAUGCUUUCAUAAUUUCAAAC
Long non-coding RNA from Mustela putorius furo (domestic ferret), 1556 nucleotides. Lineage: Eukaryota; Metazoa; Chordata; Mammalia; Carnivora; Mustelidae. The record is from Ensembl.